This 465-nucleotide ribosomal RNA is filed under the name Vreelandella stevensii. Its description in RNAcentral is "partial 16S ribosomal RNA". It matches the Rfam family "Bacterial small subunit ribosomal RNA", at positions 338 to 795 of the family's 1533-position model. The record is from RNAcentral. Lineage: Bacteria; Pseudomonadati; Pseudomonadota; Gammaproteobacteria; Oceanospirillales; Halomonadaceae.
CCUACGGGAGGCUGCAGUGGGGAAUAUUGGACAAUGGGGGCAACCCUGAUCCAGCCAUGCCGCGUGUGUGAAGAAGGCCCUCGGGUUGUAAAGCACUUUCAGUGAGGAAGAACGCCUGGUGGUUAAUACCCAUCAGGAAAGACAUCACUCACAGAAGAAGCACCGGCUAACUCCGUGCCAGCAGCCGCGGUAAUACGGAGGGUGCGAGCGUUAAUCGGAAUUACUGGGCGUAAAGCGCGCGUAGGUGGCUUGAUAAGCCGGUUGUGAAAGCCCCGGGCUCAACCUGGGAACGGCAUCCGGAACUGUCAAGCUAGAGUGCAGGAGAGGAAGGUAGAAUUCCCGGUGUAGCGGUGAAAUGCGUAGAGAUCGGGAGGAAUACCAGUGGCGAAGGCGGCCUUCUGGACUGACACUGACACUGAGGUGCGAAAGCGUGGGUAGCAAACAGGAUCAGAUACCCCUGUAGUC